AAAUUUGGCAAAUUUGCCGACUUUGAGACUCAGAAAUUCCCACAGAAUCAGAGAGUUUGAAUAUUCAGGCUGUGAAAGAGGUUGUUGUGAGUCAGCUGUGUGGUAGCUUGCUUUUAAACAAAAU
Molecule: long non-coding RNA, 124 nt
Organism: Sander lucioperca (pikeperch)
Lineage: Eukaryota; Metazoa; Chordata; Actinopteri; Perciformes; Percidae
Exons: 3
Source: RefSeq, a predicted model, not a curated record